Molecule: ribosomal RNA, 424 nt
Filed under: uncultured prokaryote
Description: bacterial SSU rRNA
Rfam family: Bacterial small subunit ribosomal RNA
Source: RNAcentral
UGGGGAAUCUUAGACAAUGGGGGAAACCCUGAUCUAGCCAUGCCGCGUGAGUGAUGAAGGCCCUAGGGUCGUAAAGCUCUUUCGCCAGGGAUGAUAAUGACAGUACCUGGUAAAGAAACCCCGGCUAACUCCGUGCCAGCAGCCGCGGUAAUACGGAGGGGGUUAGCGUUGUUCGGAAUUACUGGGCGUAAAGCGCGCGUAGGCGGACUAUUAAGUCAGGGGUGAAAUCCCGGGGCUCAACCCCGGAACUGCCUUUGAUACUGGUAGUCUAGAGUUCGAGAGAGGAGAGUGGAAUACCCAGUGUAGAGGUGAAAUUCGUAGAUAUUGGGCGGAACACCGGUGGCGAAAGCGGCUCUCUGGCUCGAACCUGACGCUGAGGCACGAAAGCGUGGGGAGCAAACAGGAUUAGAUACCCCCGUAGUCC